GGCCCCUUCGUCUAGCGGUUAGGACAGUGGCCUCUCACGCCAUAAACACGGGUUCGAUUCCCGUAGGGGUCA
RNAcentral lists this transfer RNA (72 nucleotides) under bacterium. Its description in RNAcentral is "tRNA-Glu". It matches the Rfam family "tRNA". From Rfam's summary of the family: Transfer RNA (tRNA) molecules are approximately 80 nucleotides in length. The record is from RNAcentral.